RNAcentral lists this small RNA (471 nucleotides) under Caenorhabditis elegans. RNAcentral describes it as "Unclassified non-coding RNA C15F1.16". The record is from RNAcentral. Lineage: Eukaryota; Metazoa; Nematoda; Chromadorea; Rhabditida; Rhabditidae.
GAAUCUCUUCGCUUUCAAUCAACUCACUACAGCAGGGAUCUUCAUUAUUCUGUUGUCUAUAAUCACUUUCAUCUUUGCCAUCACACCAACUAUCAAGGCGACUUUUCUGGUUAGUUAAUAAUACAACUUUAAAAGAUUUAAUUCAAAAUUUUAGUUUUCCUUAUUGGUCGUUGGGACGCAAAUCGAAGUGGCUGCAUUGGUCCACUUAUUCUCACUCGAUCACCACCAAAUCUACACUAAUUUGGCACUUUUUGCUGGUAAACAUAAAUAUGAAAAUUUUAAAUUUUAAACUCGUUUUUCAGGUUUCCUCGCCGCCUGGGAUCCGUUUUGUGCUUUAUUGCGAUAUCGAAGACGAAUUUUGUACAAAAGUGAAACUAGACGAACCCCUGAGUUGGCAUCAAAGAGACGAGUUCUUUUGCCAAUUGUUGCUACAGCUGAUAUUGCUCAAUUUUUUGUGUUACUUAUUACAGG